This 747-nucleotide ribosomal RNA is filed under the name Microbacterium sp. LZX19. Its description in RNAcentral is "bacterial SSU rRNA". It matches the Rfam family "Bacterial small subunit ribosomal RNA", at positions 48 to 805 of the family's 1533-position model. The record is from RNAcentral. Lineage: Bacteria; Bacillati; Actinomycetota; Actinomycetes; Micrococcales; Microbacteriaceae.
UUAACACAUGCAAGUCGAACGAUGAAGCUCCAGCUUGCUGGGGUGGAUUAGUGGCGAACGGGUGAGUAACACGUGAGCAACCUGCCCCUGACUCUGGGAUAAGCGCUGGAAACGGCGUCUAAUACUGGAUAUGUCCCAUCACCGCAUGGUGUGUGGGUGGAAAGAUUUUUCGGUUGGGGAUGGGCUCGCGGCCUAUCAGCUUGUUGGUGAGGUAAUGGCUCACCAAGGCGUCGACGGGUAGCCGGCCUGAGAGGGUGACCGGCCACACUGGGACUGAGACACGGCCCAGACUCCUACGGGAGGCAGCAGUGGGGAAUAUUGCACAAUGGGCGGAAGCCUGAUGCAGCAACGCCGCGUGAGGGAUGACGGCCUUCGGGUUGUAAACCUCUUUUAGCAGGGAAGAAGCGAGAGUGACGGUACCUGCAGAAAAAGCGCCGGCUAACUACGUGCCAGCAGCCGCGGUAAUACGUAGGGCGCAAGCGUUAUCCGGAAUUAUUGGGCGUAAAGAGCUCGUAGGCGGUUUGUCGCGUCUGCUGUGAAAUCCCGAGGCUCAACCUCGGGCUUGCAGUGGGUACGGGCAGACUAGAGUGCGGUAGGGGAGAUUGGAAUUCCUGGUGUAGCGGUGGAAUGCGCAGAUAUCAGGAGGAACACCGAUGGCGAAGGCAGAUCUCUGGGCCGUAACUGACGCUGAGGAGCGAAAGGGUGGGGAGCAAACAGGCUUAGAUACCCUGGUAGUCCACGCUGUAA